Lolium rigidum is the source of this 672-nucleotide long non-coding RNA. RefSeq lists it as uncharacterized. The transcript is spliced from 2 exons. NCBI's taxonomy places the organism in Eukaryota, Viridiplantae, Streptophyta, Magnoliopsida, Poales, Poaceae. The record is from RefSeq and is a predicted model, not a curated record.
UAACUGUCCAAUGUUGAACAACAACAAGCAAUGAUAUGGGUUUACCUUUGUGGUUGUACUAAUUUUAGCACAUGAUGUCUGGUAAAUACUGGUAAUGUGUAUGGGUGUAUAUUUUUUAGGUUUUGAUCAGUGGAUUGACUAAUUGUAUAGGCUUACAAUAAUACUCCUUGGCAUAUAUCAUUAUGGCAUCAUGCUAACUUUUUUUUUGUUUUGAAUGAGCAACGAUGGUGUGGACCAGGACACAGUUGUUGGUGCUCACAAAGCGGUGACAGUGCAACUAAAGGUCUCUGCUUGGGAAGUAUGCUCAAGUGUGCAGCAGAGCAAGUGAGCCAACACCUCAUGUGAAGCACAUAAUAAGGGCUUCUGGAGAGAAUAAUAAUGGUGGCAUUUCUGUGAAGGAUAUUAGAAUUGGAGUGCAGGAAGCCACCUAGCCUUGGAGGUCAUAGCUGGCCCAUCUCAUGGCACAAACCGCUACCUGCAGUCAGAUAAUAUGUCCAUGCUCCCGAUGACUCUUUGAAGGCACAAGUGAAUCAUCUAUGUUUUUUCUAAUAUUUUGUUGAAAAUUUUCUUAAAGAGUGACAUGAUGAUAUUGAUGUGUUGAUUGAUGCUCUGACCUGAAAAUAAACUGAUUGUAAUUCUACUACCACUAAUUAAGGUAACUCAAUAUUAUCA